Molecule: ribosomal RNA, 500 nt
Filed under: uncultured bacterium
Lineage: Bacteria
Description: partial 16S ribosomal RNA
Rfam family: Bacterial small subunit ribosomal RNA
Source: RNAcentral
AUUGAACGCUGGCGGCAUGCCUUACACAUGCAAGUCGAACGGCAGCACGGGAGCAAUCCUGGUGGCGAGUGGCGAACGGGUGAGUAAAGUAUCGGAACGUGCCCAGUCGUGGGGGAUAACGUAGCGAAAGUUACGCUAAUACCGCAUACGAUCUAUGGAUGAAAGCGGGGGAUCGCAAGACCUCGCGCGAUUGGAGCGGCCGAUAUCAGAUUAGGUAGUUGGUGGGGUAAAGGCGCACCAAGCCGACGAUCUGUAGCUGGUCUGAGAGGACGACCAGCCACACUGGGCCUGAGACACGGCCCAGACUCCUACGGGAGGCAGCAGUGGGGAAUUUUGGACAAUGGGCGAAAGCCUAAUCCAGCCAUGCCGCGUGCAGGAUGAAGGCCUUCGGGUUGUAAACUGCUUUUGUACGGAACGAAAAGGUUUGGCCUAAUAAGCUGAGCUCAUGACGGUACCGUAAGAAUAAGCACCGGCUAACUACGUGCCAGCAGCCGCCGUAA